AAACUGGAAAUGUUUUGUUGAAAUAGGGAUGCUGUACACGUUUGCAUACAGAACGCCAAGCAGAAAACAUAUAGAAGACAAAAAAUGUGGAGCAUUGCUGUAGUGGUACUAGUGGUGACAGGUUCUGUCUCCUGCAACACCAGCUGUCCUGAUGGGAAAGUCUGCCCUGAUCCGUCCAGUGUGGGUCCAAUGGAACUGAUCUCCCCUCUCACUCCCCAGGUCCAGUCUGACAUCGUCCCGGUCCAGAGUGAUGAUACACCAGUAGACAGUUCUCCUUACCCCUACUGUGACUCCAGCUCUUACUGUCCCGCUGGAACCAAAUGCUGCCGUCACCCUGCAGGCUACUGGACCUGCUGCACAUAUUCCAAUGGUGUGUGCUGUCGGGAUGGGUUGCACUGCUGUCCCUCCGGUUAUAGAUGUGACAGCACUUCCUCCAGGUGUCUGAGAUCCGACGGCCUGAGUUACCCUUUUGUUGAGAAGCCGGACUCUCUGAUGAUCAAAGCCACCAAGAUCUCUGAUCAGGUCCAGUCUGACAUCGUCCCGGUCCAGAGUGAUGAUAAACCGGUAGACAGUUCUCCUUACCCCUACUGUGACUCCAGCUCUUACUGUCCCGCUGGAACCAAAUGCUGCCGUCACCCUGCAGGCUACUGGACCUGCUGCACAUAUUCCAAUGGUGUGUGCUGUCGGGAUGGGUUGCACUGCUGUCCCUCCGGUUAUAGAUGUGACAGCACUUCCUCCAGGUGUCUGAGAUCCGACGGCCUGAGUUACCCUUUUGUUGAGAAGCCGGACUCUCUGAUGAUCAAAGCCACCAAGAUCUCUGAUCAGGUCCAGUCUGACGUCGUCCCGGUCCAGAGUGAUGAUAAACCAGUAGACAGUUCUCCUUACCCCUACUGUGACUCCAGCUCUUACUGUCCCGCUGGAACCAAAUGCUGCCGUCACCCUGCAGGCUACUGGACCUGCUGCACAUAUUCCAAUGGUGUGUGCUGUCGGGAUGGGUUGCACUGCUGUCCCUCCGGUUAUAGAUGUGACAGCACUUCCUCCAGGUGUCUGAGAUCCGACGGCCUGAGUUACCCUUUUGGUCUGAAGCAGGGCUCUCCAAUGAUCAAAGCCACCAAGAUCUCCAAUUAGGCCAGCAAGGCUGAUGAACAGGUCCCAUUGAAACCACAUCACAGACAUUGACAGCGUCUUACAGUUGUGGUGAAUUCACUGUGACUGAAAAUUCAACUGGCCCCCAGAAACUGUCACAGCAAGGGAAACUUGGACCAGAACCAACAAAACAAGAUCAACCAGAUGUUUGAUUUGAAUUAUAAUGAACUGCUGAUAUUGGAUAAUAAAUAAAAUUAAAGCA
Molecule: long non-coding RNA, 1348 nt
Organism: Esox lucius (northern pike)
Lineage: Eukaryota; Metazoa; Chordata; Actinopteri; Esociformes; Esocidae
Product: progranulin
Exons: 9
Source: RefSeq, a predicted model, not a curated record